This 264-nucleotide ribosomal RNA is filed under the name uncultured bacterium. RNAcentral describes it as "partial 16S ribosomal RNA". It matches the Rfam family "Bacterial small subunit ribosomal RNA", at positions 793 to 1055 of the family's 1533-position model. The record is from RNAcentral.
GUCCACGCCCUAAACGAUGUCUACUAGUUGUCGGGUCUUAAUUGACUUGGUAACGCAGCUAACGCGUGAAGUAGACCGCCUGGGGAGUACGGUCGCAAGAUUAAAACUCAAAGGAAUUGACGGGGACCCGCACAAGCGGUGGAUGAUGUGGAUUAAUUCGAUGCAACGCGAAAAACCUUACCUACCCUUGACAUGGCUGGAAUCCUUGAGAGAUCAGGGAGUGCUCGAAAGAGAACCAGUACACAGGUGCUGCAUGGCUGUCGU